This 253-nucleotide ribosomal RNA is filed under the name uncultured bacterium. Its description in RNAcentral is "partial 16S ribosomal RNA". It matches the Rfam family "Bacterial small subunit ribosomal RNA", at positions 524 to 776 of the family's 1533-position model. The record is from RNAcentral.
UACAGAGGUGGCAAGCGUUGUUCGGAAUUACUGGGCGUAAAGGGUCUGUAGGUGGCUUGCUAAGUCAGACGUGAAAUCCCUCAGCUUAACUGGGGAACUGCGUCUGAUACUGGCGAGCUUGAGUGCAGGAGAGGAACGCGGAAUUCCAGGUGUAGCGGUGAAAUGCGUAGAUAUCUGGAGGAACACCGGUGGCGAAGGCGGCGUUCUGGACUGCAACUGACACUGAGAGACGAAAGCCAGGGGAGCAAACGGG